Astatotilapia calliptera (eastern happy) is the source of this 1512-nucleotide long non-coding RNA. The record is from Ensembl. Lineage: Eukaryota; Metazoa; Chordata; Actinopteri; Cichliformes; Cichlidae.
GUGGGGUUGCUGUAUUUUUUUGUCUCUCGAGGAUGUUGCGACACAAGACAAAGCCUGUCAGAAGUUUGCGGAGGAAAGGACCUUUUUACGCACGCGAGAAAAAUCACAGUUGGCUGAUGGAUAGUUUGUAAAUACUUCUUUUUUCCUUCUUAGUGCAGUAGUUUUAUGACUGUUGUGUUUACGUUCUUGCGAAGUUGUCUUUCUGCACUAUGGGAAUUCCGCGCAGUGCAAUCAGGUGUAAAGUCUCCAAGAAACAAGAAACGGUGGGAAUUUAAGCAAUUUAACCAGUACAGUGCUUGCUUCUGAUGGAUUAAGAAAAUAAAAAAGAUGUGUAGAAAAAAAAACACACGGAAGAUGUACAGAUUCACCUAUCAAGCCAUUUUUAAGAUGAAAUGAAGGAUUAAGAGACUGUUCACUUUUCUUCUGGAUGAACAUGAAGACUUAUCUCAUGAGGAUUUAGACUUCAGCAGCAGCAGCGCCAGUCGGAUUGUGUUUUAGGCACACUUGGAAAUCUAAACCUCAUGGAGAUACUUUGAGGAUUAUAAAAGAUGUGCAUGUAGAAUGCCACCAUACAAGACGCGUCCUGGGCCAAAGUCCUUGGGAUAGCAGGAUAUUGCUUUCCUGAUCCUUCUCAGCCCCCAGAAUGGGGAGUGUGGGAGUGGUGAGGUCUGGGAGAUCACGACCUUAAUUCUCUCCAAGACAGACGGUUUAAUUAACACUGGAAGAAUCCUCACUGACUCCAGACCUCUACAGUGAGAAUGUACAGGGGAAUUGGCUUGCCAAGGUCCUCUUGGCCAUAGACUGAAAUGCUGACAGACGAUGCCCAUGAAUGAUGAAUGAUGACUGGAGGUCUGUCUGGUGCCAGCAGAAUGCAUAAUACAGCAUCGAUACAGCAAUCGCAGUCCUCCUCAGCAGAAACAUGGUGCAGUUUCUGUAUCACAUUAUUGGAAGAUUUGCCCCAAGCAGGACAGCAGGACCACUCAAAGUGGAAAUCAACCGCAAUGUUGAAUGUUGUUUCGGUUGGAGUCCUAAAUGAAGCAGCAUUACAAAGAGUUUUCUGAUCUACACAGAAGCUUACAGGAAACUGAAGAAGACGGGUGAGGUUAAAGAGGACAGCACGAUGGAAAAAACAAGAAUGAAAGCAGCCAGUGAUAAAUAUUAACUUUUGUGAAACAUUUUGAGCAUUUGCAUCACUAAAAGUCCUCAUAUAUAGCUGUUUGUCAUCGCCUUAAACUGCUAGAAUUUGAUUUUAAAAAUACGGGUAUCAUGUAGCGGUUCGAGUUAGAAGCUGGGAAUAUGCAAUCACAUCUGUAAGAGUUACAUUUCGCAGCUCAUUGUAUCUCUGACUGCAAAAUAAAGUUUGAUAACAAUCUGUUUUUGUGUUAUUAAUAUGUUGUAUGGAAAUAAAGAAAAAAAACCAAUGAAAGCACUUUUUAAAUGCUUUUUUGUAAAUCUGUUUUAAAAAAAAACAAUAUGUCUGCACAAGGGCCUGUAAUUAAAAGGGAAAAGGGC